This 468-nucleotide ribosomal RNA is filed under the name uncultured bacterium. RNAcentral describes it as "partial 16S ribosomal RNA". It matches the Rfam family "Bacterial small subunit ribosomal RNA", at positions 28 to 507 of the family's 1533-position model. The record is from RNAcentral.
GAUGAACGCUGGCGGCGUGCUUAACACAUGCAAGUCGAACGGAAAGGCCCAAGCUUGCUUGGGUACUCGAGUGGCGAACGGGUGAGUAACACGUGGGUGAUCUGCCCUGCACUUCGGGAUAAGCCUGGGAAACUGGGUCUAAUACCGGAUAGGACGAUGGUUUGGAUGCCAUUGUGGAAAGUUUUUUCGGUGUGGGAUGAGCUCGCGGCCUAUCAGCUUGUUGGUGGGGUAAUGGCCUACCAAGGCGUCGACGGGUAGCCGGCCUGAGAGGGUGUACGGCCACAUUGGGACUGAGAUACGGCCCAGACUCCUACGGGAGGCAGCAGUGGGGAAUAUUGCACAAUGGGCGCAAGCCUGAUGCAGCGACGCCGCGUGGGGGAUGACGGCCUCCGGGUUGUAAACUCCUUUCGCUAGGGACGAAGCGUUUUUGUGACGGUACCUGGAGAAGAAGCACCGGCUAACUACGUG